GCCGCCGUAGCUCAGUAGGAAAGAGCAGCCUUUUUGCGAAGGGACGGUCGGGAGUUCGAGUCUCCCCGGCGGCUCCA
RNAcentral lists this transfer RNA (77 nucleotides) under Chloroflexota bacterium. Its description in RNAcentral is "Chloroflexi bacterium tRNA-Ala". It matches the Rfam family "tRNA". From Rfam's summary of the family: Transfer RNA (tRNA) molecules are approximately 80 nucleotides in length. Their secondary structure includes four short double-helical elements and three loops (D, anti-codon, and T loops). Further hydrogen bonds mediate the characteristic L-shaped molecular structure. tRNAs have two regions of fundamental functional importance: the anti-codon, which is responsible for specific mRNA codon recognition, and the 3' end, to which the tRNAs corresponding amino acid is attached (by aminoacyl-tRNA synthetases). tRNAs cope with the degeneracy of the genetic code in two manners: having more than one tRNA (with a specific anti-codon) for a particular amino acid; and 'wobble' base-pairing, i.e. permitting non-standard base-pairing at the 3rd anti-codon position. Lineage: Bacteria; Bacillati; Chloroflexota. The record is from RNAcentral.